UUUUUUAAUUGGGGACUGGAAUGAAAGGUAGAAACUUUAAAGGAAUGUUUUUAUAAAUUAUUUUGAAUUUAAAUUAAAAAUAAAAAUGUUUUUAUGAAUUUUUGGGACGAUAAGACCCUAGAAGUUUUUAAAAUUGAUUUUUAAUUGGGGUAAUUAACGAAAAUAAUAAUUUUUAUUAAAUAAAAUUACAAAAUUUAUAAAUUACUCUAGGGAUAACAGCGUUAUUUAAUUAGAAAGUUCUUAUUAAUAAUUAAGAUUGCGACCUCGAUGUUGAAUUAAAA
This 281-nucleotide ribosomal RNA is filed under the name Stygnus kuryi. RNAcentral's name for it is "partial large subunit ribosomal RNA". The record is from RNAcentral. Lineage: Eukaryota; Metazoa; Arthropoda; Arachnida; Opiliones; Stygnidae.